RNAcentral lists this unclassified non-coding RNA (194 nucleotides) under rhizosphere metagenome. RNAcentral's name for it is "partial ribosomal RNA internal transcribed spacer region". The record is from RNAcentral.
GAUUAAAUCGAGAGCGUCUUCAUUGACCUCUCACCCUUCACAUCCACAUACACCCUGUGAAUCGUUUGGCUUUUUCAUUAAUAGAGCGCAAGCUCGACAAGUGAAAAAGUCAUCAUUUAUACAUACCCCAGUCUUAUGAAUGUAACAGUUUUAAUAAACAUAAUAAAACUUUUAACAACGGAUCUCUUGGUUCU